Molecule: small nucleolar RNA, 81 nt
Filed under: Carlito syrichta (Philippine tarsier)
Lineage: Eukaryota; Metazoa; Chordata; Mammalia; Primates; Tarsiidae
Description: Small nucleolar RNA SNORD115 (ENSTSYG00000033208.1)
Rfam family: Small nucleolar RNA SNORD115
About the family: HBII-52 is a member of the C/D class of snoRNAs, which contain the C (UGAUGA) and D (CUGA) box motifs. HBII-52 is encoded in a tandemly repeated array with another C/D snoRNA, HBII-85, in the Prader-Willi syndrome (PWS) region of chromosome 15.
Source: Rfam by way of RNAcentral
GGGUCAAUGAUUAAUCCUUUGCAUUGUCUACAUAGAGGCCAUGACUUAAAAGAUAUGCUCAAUAGAAUUAUGCUGAGGACC